RNAcentral lists this unclassified non-coding RNA (420 nucleotides) under soil metagenome. RNAcentral describes it as "partial contains 5.8S ribosomal RNA, internal transcribed spacer 2, and large subunit ribosomal RNA". The stretch from base 1 to 120 matches the Rfam family "5.8S ribosomal RNA", at positions 35 to 154 of the family's 154-position model. The record is from RNAcentral.
GAUGAAGAACGUAGCGAAAUGCGAUACGUAAUGUGAAUUGCAGAAUUCAGUGAAUCAUCGAAUCUUUGAACGCACAUUGCACUCUCUGGUAUUCCGGAGAGUAUGCUUGUUUGAGUAUCAGUAAACACCUCAAAUCUCUACAUUCGUGUUGAGAAUUGGACUUGAGCAAUCCCAACUCUUUGCAAAAAGGGGCGGGUUGCUUGAAAUGCAGGUGCAGCUGGACAUUCUUCUGAGCUAAAAGCAUAUUUAUUUAGUCCCGUCAAACGGAUUAUUACUUUUGCUCUAGCUAAUAUAAAGGUCGAAUGGACUAUACGCUGACUGAUGCAGGAUUACCAAGUUUCCGUCAAAAGAAAUUUGUAAACUCGAUCUCAAAUCAAGUAAGACUACCCGCUGAACUUAAGCAUAUCAAUAAGCGGAGGA